UUUCCACAUGAGAAUCCUCUUUUCUUCACAUUAUGGACACCGAAGCAGAAAACAAAAGGCGUAGAAGCGAGAGGAAAAGUGCUUCUCGGAACGGCUCAUGGAACAAGAAGAGUGCCACAUCAGUUUGAACAAGAAGAGUGUUUCGAAUCCAACAACAAUGCACUCAUUCUCACGGCUUCGCAUUCAAAUAUUCGAUGGCACAAAGAUUCACAUCGUUCCAUCAUCAGUUCAAUAGCUUCGAAGAUUCAAUUUACUCUGGUGUCAUUCACACACAAACAGAAGAAGAAACAAACAUCGAAGGAGAAUUGGAAACUCACCAGAUUAAAUAGUUGGAUAUUCAAUUUGAGCCAUGAACAUGGAACUGCACAUUGCACUUGGAUUGCAUUGGAUUGGAAGGAAUUAGUCAUGGGAAAAUGUGAUUGAAAUAUGGAUGGUUCCAUGGAUUAGUUGGAUUGCAUCAGAUUGAGGAAUCUUGGUCAUAAAUUGGUAGCUUUCUAUUUGAGGUUUACUUGCAGGACCGGCUACAAAGUCCUAGAUUUAUGUGUUGAGUAUAUGACUAUUUCGUUGGUAAAGCUUUUGGACAAAAAUACUGAUGUAAAUGAACAAAGUAAAUAAAAGACAAAAAUACUUAUGUAAAUGAACAAAGUAAAUAAAAGUUAUUUGGUAAA
Long non-coding RNA from Lathyrus oleraceus (garden pea), 668 nucleotides. RefSeq lists it as uncharacterized. The transcript is spliced from 2 exons. Lineage: Eukaryota; Viridiplantae; Streptophyta; Magnoliopsida; Fabales; Fabaceae. The record is from RefSeq and is a predicted model, not a curated record.